UACGGCCACAUCGCGUUUUUAAAACACCGGUUCCCGUACGAUCACCGAAGUUAAGCAACGUCGAGCCUGGUCAAAUAUCUAUAUGGGUGACCGCUUGAAAAUACCAGGUGCUGUAAG
This is a non-coding RNA of Acanthosepion pharaonis, 117 nucleotides long. NCBI's taxonomy places the organism in Eukaryota, Metazoa, Mollusca, Cephalopoda, Sepiida, Sepiidae. The record is from the annotation of a GenBank genome assembly.